RNAcentral lists this ribosomal RNA (1436 nucleotides) under uncultured organism. RNAcentral's name for it is "16S ribosomal RNA". It matches the Rfam family "Bacterial small subunit ribosomal RNA". The record is from RNAcentral.
GAUGAACGCUAGCUACAGGCUUAACACAUGCAAGUCGAGGGGCAGCAUGGUCUUAGCUUGCUAAGGCCGAUGGCGACCGGCGCACGGGUGAGUAACACGUAUCCAACCUGCCGUCUACUCUUGGACAGCCUUCUGAAAGGAAGAUUAAUACAAGAUGGCAUCAUGAGUCCACAUGUUCACAUGAUUAAAGGUAUUCCGGUAGACGAUGGGGAUGCGUUCCAUUAGAUAGUAGGCGGGGUAACGGCCCACCUAGUCUUCGAUGGAUAGGGGUUCUGAGAGGAAGGUCCCCCACAUUGGAACUGAGACACGGUCCAAACUCCUACGGGAGGCAGCAGUGAGGAAUAUUGGUCAAUGGGCGAGAGCCUGAACCAGCCAAGUAGCGUGAAGGAUGACUGCCCUAUGGGUUGUAAACUUCUUUUAUAAAGGAAUAAAGUCGGGUAUGCAUACCCGUUUGCAUGUACUUUAUGAAUAAGGAUCGGCUAACUCCGUGCCAGCAGCCGCGGUAAUACGGAGGAUCCGAGCGUUAUCCGGAUUUAUUGGGUUUAAAGGGAGCGUAGAUGGAUGUUUAAGUCAGUUGUGAAAGUUUGCGGCUCAACCGUAAAAUUGCAGUUGAUACUGGAUAUCUUGAGUGCAGUUGAGGCAGGCGGAAUUCGUGGUGUAGCGGUGAAAUGCUUAGAUAUCACGAAGAACUCCGAUUGCGAAGGCAGCCUGCUAAGCUGCAACUGACAUUGAGGCUCGAAAGUGUGGGUAUCAAACAGGAUUAGAUACCCUGGUAGUCCACACGGUAAACGAUGAAUACUCGCUGUUUGCGAUAUACAGCAAGCGGCCAAGCGAAAGCGUUAAGUAUUCCACCUGGGGAGUACGCCGGCAACGGUGAAACUCAAAGGAAUUGACGGGGGCCCGCACAAGCGGAGGAACAUGUGGUUUAAUUCGAUGAUACGCGAGGAACCUUACCCGGGCUUAAAUUGCAGAUGAAUUACGGUGAAAGCCGUAAGCCGCAAGGCAUCUGUGAAGGUGCUGCAUGGUUGUCGUCAGCUCGUGCCGUGAGGUGUCGGCUUAAGUGCCAUAACGAGCGCAACCCUUGUUGUCAGUUACUAACAGGUCAUGCUGAGGACUCUGACAAGACUGCCAUCGUAAGAUGUGAGGAAGGUGGGGAUGACGUCAAAUCAGCACGGCCCUUACGUCCGGGGCUACACACGUGUUACAAUGGGGGGUACAGAGGGCCGCUACCACGCGAGUGGAUGCCAAUCCCAAAAACCUCUCUCAGUUCGGACUGGAGUCUGCAACCCGACUCCACGAAGCUGGAUUCGCUAGUAAUCGCGCAUCAGCCACGGCGCGGUGAAUACGUUCCCGGGCCUUGUACACACCGCCCGUCAAGCCAUGGGAGCCGGGGGUACCUGAAGUGCGUAACCGCGAGGAGCGCCCUAGGGUAAAAC